GACGAACGCUGGCGGCGUGCUUAACACAUGCAAGUCGAACGGAAAGGCCCUGCUUUUGUGGGGUGCUCGAGUGGCGAACGGGUGAGUAACACGUGAGUAACCUGCCCUUGACUUUGGGAUAACUUCAGGAAACUGGGGCUAAUACCGGAUAGGAGCUCCUGCUGCAUGGUGGGGGUUGGAAAGUUUCGGCGGUUGGGGAUGGACUCGCGGCUUAUCAGCUUGUUGGUGGGGUAGUGGCUUACCAAGGCUUUGACGGGUAGCCGGCCUGAGAGGGUGACCGGCCACAUUGGGACUGAGAUACGGCGCAGACGGCUACGGGAGGCAGCAGUGGGGAAUAUUGCACAAUGGGCGGAAGCCUGAUGCAGAGACGCCGCGUGCGGGAUGACGGCCUUCGGGGUGUAAACCGCUUUCGCCUGUGACGAAGCGUGAGUGACGGUAAUGGGUAAAGAAGCACCGGCUAACUACGUG
This 468-nucleotide ribosomal RNA is filed under the name uncultured bacterium. Its description in RNAcentral is "partial 16S ribosomal RNA". It matches the Rfam family "Bacterial small subunit ribosomal RNA", at positions 28 to 507 of the family's 1533-position model. The record is from RNAcentral.